This is an RNA transcript of Contarinia nasturtii (swede midge), 5193 nucleotides long. It is a transcript of the gene named tonsoku-like protein, with no coding region annotated. The record is from RefSeq and is a predicted model, not a curated record. NCBI's taxonomy places the organism in Eukaryota, Metazoa, Arthropoda, Insecta, Diptera, Cecidomyiidae. The transcript has 12 exons.
CUUUGUGUAAUUUCACAAUGUUUAAUGCGUACACAGUUUGAUUGGAAUUGUCUUUGUUGUGUUUCCAAUGAUAAACUAAGAGCAUGUAUUCGAAAUAAUUGUUUUUUUUUUUAUUAUUAUUAUUAUUAUUAUUAUUAUUAUUUUGUGGAUUGAGCACUUAUUCAACAAAAAUGAAUUUGGACAGAUUGAUUCGUAAAAAAGAUCGGGCAAUCAUUGACAAUAAUCCGGCUCAAUUGGCUGCAGCAUAUAAAAACCUGGGCGAUUGGUAUCACGAAAAUCAACAGUAUGAAAAUGCCUUGGGCUGUUAUAAGGAGGAGGCUAAUAUUUACGAAUCGCUGGGAAAGCGCUUGGAGAAGGCCAAAGCACAUCGAAUGAUUGGCGAAAUGUAUAUGUUACAAGAAAAUUUUGACAAUGCUCUCAAAUACGAACUGAGCUAUUUGACUACAGCCGUUGAUCAAAACAACAAAAUCGAAGAACAACGAGCAUAUGCAACGAUUGGACGCGUGUAUUUAACAAAAGCGCAAAGUCAAUUGAAUGCACCGCAAAAACCUGAUGAUUUAUCAAAAUGUAUAAAAAGUGCCGAAAAGCAGUUUUUAAAAAGUUUGCUCAUUUGCAAGAGUUUAAACGAUUUGCCAAAACAUGAGAUUUUUGAUAUGACGGCACGUCUUUAUUUGAAUUUGGCCCUAACGUAUGAAUGCAAAGAAGAGUUCAACGAAGCAAUAAAGUAUUUUGAAAAGGCAAUGUCAAUAUGCCGGCACAACGAUUUCUGGGAAUUGUUGCACAAGUGUUAUUUGGAUGCCGGUUUGAUGUAUUUCAAUAAGCUAAAUGAUUCGACGAAAGCAUUGCAACUACUUAAUUUGGCCAUAAACAUUGCCGAGCGUUUAACCACCGAUCGAGUUGUUCGCAUAUGCCAAACGCUUCUUUCAAAAUCUGAGGUAUUAAUUAAAAUGGCCGAUUUCCAGGGUGCCAAACAAAUUCUACAUAAAGCGUACAAAUUGAAAACGCCCGAAGAAAGUGAUGCAGAAUCCAUUGCAACAAAUUUGAAAAUUGUGGCUGCAAUGUGCAAAGCGGAAAAUGCACUUAUUACAAUAGACUCGGACAAUCAGAUUGAACGUAAAAAAUUAUAUGAAAAAUUGGGAGAUGGAUCAUGUAAGUUGCGAAAUUUUUCAGCUGCUAUUGGUUACUACAAGAAAAUGCUUGAUGCGGCUAAAAAGAAUGGUGACAAUGGGCAUCAAUUGAUUCCGGUUUAUGUAAGCCUCUAUCAAACAUAUCGUGAUAUGAAUGAAUAUGAUCUUGCAUUGGAUUAUAUGCAAAAAGAAUACGAGCUGUGUAAGGAUGUGCCAGAAGAAAAAUUAUCAACACUACUUGGAAUUGCGGAAACACAAUCAUUAGCUGAUAAAGAUUUUUGGACGAUUGAUGGGACCUAUGAAGAAGCAAGAAAAAUUGCACAAAAUAUGGCCAAUAAAAAGAAAGAGAAAAUCGUACUUUUAAAACAAUUGACAUUAAGAGAGAAACAUUCAAUGGCUACAUUGGCCGAUAUUAUGAGAGAAGAAUUGAAAUCGAGUAAUUUUAAUAUGUCGGAUUGCGGCGAUGAUGAAGAUACUAACGAUGAUAUCGAUUCUGAAGAAUUAAAUACACCAGAUGUUGGAGAUGACAUAUGUUUGGAAACGUUGUCCGAUUCAGCAAACGAAAAUGAAGAAGAAGAAGAAGAAAACGAUCGAAAAUCAAAUCUUACAACCAAUCAGCCACGUACACUUAGAAAACGCGGAUAUUUUACCGUUAAGAAAAAUGAAAAAGGUGAAUCACAAUUACACCGAGCAUGUAUUGCAGGAAAUUUAACAAUGGCACGUCGAUUGAUUGAUCAAGGGCACCCGGUGAAUGUUCGUGAUCACGCCGGUUGGUUGCCAUUACAUGAAGCCGCCAAUCAUGGAUUUACUGAAAUAGUGGAACUUCUAUUGGACAAUGGUGCGACGAUCAAUGAUAAAGGUGGAACUGGCUGUGAAGGUUUUACUCCUCUGCACGAUGCUUGUGGAAAUGGUGUACUAAAUGUGGUUGAAUUGCUAUUGAAUCGCGGUGCAAAUGCAACGUUAAAGAAUGAUAAAGGUGAUACAGCAUUACAGACGCUGGUAAAAUGGCGAAAGGAUCGAAUCUUAAAUGUCCAAGAGCAAAGUUUCUAUGAAAUAAUUUAUGAACGGAUGUACAAACAAUUGGAAAAAGCCGGUGUUAGUGCUUGUGUCGAUGAAUCACAUACACAAGAUCAACAAUCAACUAAAAAUCACAGUUUAUUGAAGAAACCAUCAAUGACUUCUCGUAAUCGGAUUGUAAGUGAAUCAACAUCAAGCGAAGAUGAUAAUAAUGAGAAUGGUUUGCCAGAAAGUGAAGAAUUUGAUACAAUCGAUAGUAUUAUAAAUAAAGAAUUGCCGUCAACAUCUCCAGAACAAGAACGAGAACGUUUACGAGAAUCGUCUCCAACAUCACCAUGCACUAAUUAUCGAAAAGUGAUGUCUGAUUUAAGAAAACGAACCUUUUCGAGUGAUGUAAAUGUGAUAUCCAAAUCAUUGAAACCAGUGGAGAAGGCGGCAAAAAAAUCGGCAAUGUUAGCUCCAAAUGAAAUUUCUGACGAUGAUUGGCUCGAAAAUGACCUGGAACCGAGUGCAAAACGUCGUCGAUAUUUAAACGAUAGAACAUUUUCGGCCGAAUCAAAUAAAUCAACAAAUUGUAAAAAAGAAAAACAAAAACUUUCGGGAUCUUCUCUAAACGAUUCAAUGGUUGUUUCAUCAACGAAUAAUGGGAUUUUAAGCGAUGAUUCAGAUGAAGGAAAUGCAUUCAAUGUUCUUAUGCAGUCGAAUCAAAAUGUGCGCCGAACAAAACGACGUACCUCUACAUCGAGUAACAAUCGUUUUUCGGGCGAAUCAAAUUCAAUGAUGCAAUCAUCUUUGCUCGAAAGCGGGUUUCAAAGACAUCGGCCUGUUUCACCCGAUCUUGUAUUUCUAUCGUCUGUAUCAUCAACGGUUACUUCGCCACAUAAAAUUAUUAACAUGACACCCAUUCAAUCACAUUCGGUCAAAGUACAAGUAUCAGAUCUUUAUUUAAACAUACCGGUUAAUUUAAAUAAUGCGAACGACUUGACUAUCGAAUGGUUGGCAGAAGAGGCAGCAAAACGAUAUUAUAGUUUGAAAGGACUACAACCAGUGCUGCGGUUGACCACUAAAGAUGGUGCCAUUUUUGAAAAUUCGGAUCCAAUAAGUUUAGCAUUUGCUGAAAAUUCGACGAUAUCAUCGACAGUUUUGGAAUGGAUUAUGCCCCCAUUGGCCCAACGUUAUAUGGAAACCUGCGCUCAAAUAAAAACCAAUGCCGAUCCAUUUAUCAAAUCUCAAAUUGAACUCAUCGCCUCAACGCAGUGGCUUUCAAUUAAUGAUCAGAUAUUAUCGCCCAAAUACAGUCGCCCACUAUUUAAAGCGUUACACUAUCAAUCGAAUAUCACCAAAAUUGACCUCACAAACAGUUUUAUAGAAGAUGAAGGAAUGAAACAUCUUGUACAAGCAUUACCAACAAUGAAACAAAUCGUUUACUUAAAUCUUAGUGGGAAUUUGAUAACAGCCACCGGAAUAAAGCAUUUCAGCAGCAUAUUUGAUGAUGAAAUAUCAGAAUGUUUGCCCGAAUUAAAAACCAUCAUUCUAAAUCAUAAUCCGCUACAAAAUAAAAGCCUGACUGCUCUGGAAAAAAUCUGUUGCAAUCUAAAUCAAUUGACAACGUUACACUUAUGCUCCACUGAGUUAACCGAUCUCCAAAGCAUUGAUUUGCGAUUCUCGCAAUUGAUCAAUGUUGAUUUAAGUUUCAAUAAUUUCACACCAACUGGCUUGUUAAAUUCCGUCGAAAAGCUGAAUUCAUGUAAAUUGGAGAAAUUGAAAUUGUCAUUUUGUGGUUGCCAAUUGAAUAGACAAGAAAUGUCCGAACGAAACUUAGUAGAUGCACUAACAAAAUCUUUGGAUGCUGGCAAUUGCUCCAAUUUGGAAGAGAUUCAUUUGUGUGGAUUGAAUUUGAAUGAUGUUGAUUGCUGGCAGAUCGUACAAUCGCUAAAACGAUCAAAAAAAUUGAAAACACUGUCAUUGAGAGGCAAUUCACUGUUGACGAAGGUUACAUGGAAAUUGCUAUUGGAAAAUUUAACGGUACACAAUUUAUAUUUGGAAGGCUGUAAAAUAUUACUCAACGAUCUGAAUGCACAUGAUGAAGAAGCAUUGAACAAGUUUACAAAUUGCUGUGAAAAUAUCAAAGUAUCAUUAAAUGAAGAUAACACUGAUAUAAAUCAAUUUGAGAUAGUUAAACGCAUUUGGAGUACUGUUACACAUUACGCUGGAAAAGUAUUUAGCAAAGCAUACUUACUUAAAAAUUACUAUAUUCCAUUACUCUACAAUUCCUGAUCCAUUCCUUAGAUUCAUUUUCCAUUCUCUUCCAUUAUCAUCAUUCACAUAUAUUCUAUUAUAAGAAACUAUAUAGUUUGACCAGACACAAACGCACACACGUACGAAAGAAACACAUUGCUGACAAAUAUUUGAGAUUUGGUAUGUAGUAGAGAGAUGAGCCGGUGUUCACACAACAGCAUAGGAGCAAUUACACAGCGACAAUAAGGUGCUGCGAAUGUACGAACAUACGACACCAGUAACAACAACAAAAGAAACAACAAAUCGGACACAUCAAAUGACGAAGAAGAAUAUGGACACAUUUUUAGUUCUUACACUGGGAAUCGUCAGUUUGUCCACAAGCGAUGUCAGAAUCCUGAAAAUAUGAAUACAAAGGAUCGUUUCUUAGUUUGCCCCAACCAUGAACGGGUCCACAAUCGUAUUCUUUCCCGUCAGAAAUUAAAGGAAUUUUCUCCUCGGUCAUCUCCCGUAGUUUAAUCCUUCUACGAGUAAUUUACGUUGUAUGAUGAUCAACGAUCUCACCACUACUACUACUGCUACUACCAAAUCUCAAAUUAAAACAAUGAUUUCGAGCUUAAACUAUAUACUUUCUUUUUUUAAUUUGAUUUUCAAUUUUGUUCCAUUACCUAUUGAUUAAUUUCCAUUUUUUCCGUUCUUUUCUUCUGAUCAACUCUAGGUAUUUCGACAACAUCAAACGGUGUGGCUGACAACAGCGCCAGAAAAACAUACAAUUGAAAAUUGGGAAUACUGCCAUAUCUAAUCAUAUCAUUUU